AGGGCGCAUGAAGGAUGCCUUGGCUCUCGGAGGCGAAGAAGGACGUGACAAGCUGCGAAAAGCCGCGGAGAGGGGCAAAUACCCUUAGAUCCGCGGAUGUCCGAAUGGGGCAACCCGGCACGUAACGCGUGCCGUUCCGCAAAGCGGGACGCCAACCCGGGGAACUGAAACAUCUCAAUACCCGGAGGAAAAGAAAACAACAGUGAUUGCGCUAGUAGCGGCGAGCGAACGCGCAGGAGCCCAAACCGAAGCUGUGGCAACGCAGCGUCGGGGUAGAAGGACCGAGCGACAAAGUCAAGAGCGACGGAUAGCAGAACGCCCCUGGAAAGGGCGGCCGCAGAGGGUGAAAGCCCCGUAAGCGAAAUCCGGGACAAAGACGAGUUCGGCACCUGAGUAAGGCGGGACACGAGAAAUCCUGCCCGAAUCAGCGGGGACCAUCCCGUAAGGCUAAAUACUACCGAGAGACCGAUAGCGAACCAGUACCGUGAGGGAAAGGUGAAAAGAACCCCGAACAGGGGAGUGAAAAAGACCCUGAAAUCAUGCGCCUACAAGCGGUCGGAGCGGUGCAAUACCGUGACGGCGUGCCUUUUGCAUAAUGAGCCUACGAGUUGCCCUCACCGGCGAGGCUAAGUGUCCAUAGGCACGUACCCGGAGCGAAAGCGAGUCAGAACAUGGCGAUAAGUCAGUGGGGGCAGACGCGAAACCAAGUGAUCUACCCUUGGGCAGGAUGAAGGACGGGUAACACCGUCUGGAGGUCCGAACCGGUAAGCGUUGAAAAGCUUUCGGAUGACCUGAUGGUAGGAGUGAAAGGCCAAUCAAACUUGGAGAUAGCUCGUACUCCCCGAAAUGCAUUUAGGUGCAGCCCCGGGCGCAAUUGCGCGGAGGUAGAGCGACUGACAGGAUGCGAGGGCUUCGCCGCCUAUCAAGUCCUGACAAACUCCGAAUGCCGCGCAACGUUCCCCGGGAGUGAGGGCGCGGGUGCUAAGGUCCGCGUCCGAGAGAGGAACAACUCAGACCACCGGCUAAGGCCCCCAAGGGGCGACUAAGUUGAAGACAAUAACGAAGUGGGAUCGCACGGACAGCUAGGAUGUUGGCUUGGAAGCAGCCAUUCAUUUAAAGAGUGCGUAACAGCUCACUAGUCGAGCGAUCCCGCGUGGAUAAUAAUCGGGCAUCAAGUCGUCCGCCGAAGCCGUGGAAUAUUAUCAGAAGAUGAUAUUGGUAGGGGAGCAUUCCGGCCGCCGUAGAAUCCGAGGCGUGAGCCUUGGUGGAGGUACCGGAAAAGCAAAUGUAGGCAUAAGUAACGAUAAUGGGGGCGAGAACCCCCCACGCCGGAAGGCCAAGGGUUCCUGAUCAACGCUAAUCGGAUCAGGGUAAGUCGGGACCUAAGAGGGAGCCGCGAGGCGUACUCGAUGGACAAACGGUAAAGAUUCCGUUACCCGGCGCAGGAGUGAAGUGGCGACGGAGAAGUGACACGCCCGCGUGCUGACGGAAAAGCACGUUAAACCGCGUAGGUAUACUUAGGGGAGGCAAAUCCCUCCUGAGUGCUGAAACGGGAAAGUACACCGAGUCCUGCGGGGCGAGGUGAUAGCGGCGGUAAUCAGGCUUCCGAGAAAACCCGCUAAACAUAUGCUGCGUCGGCCCGUACCGCAAACCGACACAGGUGGCCGGGUAGAAAAUACUGAGGCGCUCGAGAGAUUCACGGUUAAGGAACUAGGCAAAUUGACCCCGUAACUUCGGGAUAAGGGGUCCCCUCCUCCGGGAGGGGCGCAGAGAAUAGGUCCAGGCAACUGUUUAACAAAAACACAGGGCUGUGCGAAAUCGAAAGAUGAGGUAUACAGUCUGACACCUGCCCGGUGCCGGAAGGUUAAGAGGAGAUGUCAUCGCAAGAGAAGCAUUGAAUUGAAGCCCCGGUAAACGGCGGCCGUAACUAUAACGGUCCUAAGGUAGCGAAAUUCCUUGUCGGGUAAGUUCCGACCUGCACGAAUGGUGUAAUGAUCCGGACACUGUCUCAACCGUGAGCUCGGUGAAAUUGUAGUAUCGGUGAAGAUGCCGAUUACCCGCAACGGGACGGAAAGACCCCGUGAACCUUUACUGCAGCUUAGCAUUGGGACCGGGUGCGCGAUGUGUAGGAUAGUCAGGAGGCGAAGAAGUGAGCGCGCCAGCGUUUGCGGAGCCGUUGUUGAAAUACUGACCUUUGCGCAUUUGGUUUCUAACUUGCAAAAGCGAGGACACUGCUUGGCGGGUAGUUUGACUGGGGUGGUCGCCUCCAAAAGCGUAACGGAGGCUUCCAAAGGUGCGCUCAGACCGAUUGGUAACCGGUCGCGGAGUGUAAUGGCACAAGCGCGCUUGACUGGGAGGCCGACAAGCCGAUCAGGUAGGAAACUAGGGCAUAGUGAUCCGGCGGUUCCGCAUGGAAGGGCCGUCGCUCAAAGGAUAAAAGGU
RNAcentral lists this ribosomal RNA (2442 nucleotides) under human gut metagenome. Its description in RNAcentral is "bacterial LSU rRNA". It matches the Rfam family "Bacterial large subunit ribosomal RNA", at positions 14 to 2464 of the family's 2925-position model. The record is from RNAcentral.